UAGUAACGGCGAGUGAAGCGGGAAGAGCUCAAGCUUAAAAUCUCCGUGCAAGUUUUGCGCGGCGAAUUGUAGUCUAUAGAGGCGUGGUCAGUGAGGGCGCUCGGGGCAAGUUCCUUGGAAGAGGACAGCAUGGAGGGUGAUACUCCCGUUCAUCCCUGGGUGGCUCUUGCGUACGACCCGUUUUCUUUGAGUCGCGUUGUUUGGGAAUGCAGCGCAAAGUAGGUGGUAAAUUCCAUCUAAAGCUAAAUAUUGGUGCGAGACCGAUAGCGAACAAGUACCGUGAGGGAAAGAUGAAAAGAACUUUGAAAAGAGAGUUAAAGAGUACCUGAAACUGCUGAAAGGGAACCGAAUCGUUUCCAGUGUCUAUAAUCCGUGGCAUAUUUCAUUGGCGAGUGUGUGCGUGCGUGUGCUUUGGCAGUGGCUUUUUUGGCUGCGCUGGGCGUGUGUGCUGUGUGUGCUUGCUGGUGCCCUGUGCUGCGGUGGGACGUCAAGGUCAGUUCGUAUGCUGCGGGAAAUGGCUGCCGAGGAGGUAGGGCUUACGCUCCGCGUUUGUCUGUUAUAUCUUGGUGGACGAGUCGUCGCGGUUGGGACUGAGGUGCCUACAACGUGCUUUUGAGUGAGUAUGGGUCUCCGUGUGCGCCGUGUGCGGAUAGCUUGCUAUGCGUGUGUGGUUGUGUGUGGAUUGAUGCGUGCUGUAACUGUCGCCGUUC
This 710-nucleotide ribosomal RNA is filed under the name Phytophthora cryptogea. RNAcentral's name for it is "eukaryotic LSU rRNA". It matches the Rfam family "Eukaryotic large subunit ribosomal RNA", at positions 81 to 631 of the family's 3401-position model. Lineage: Eukaryota; Oomycota; Peronosporomycetes; Peronosporales; Peronosporaceae. The record is from RNAcentral.